Non-coding RNA from Girardinichthys multiradiatus, 705 nucleotides. The record is from the annotation of a RefSeq genome assembly. Lineage: Eukaryota; Metazoa; Chordata; Actinopteri; Cyprinodontiformes; Goodeidae.
UGAUCUAAAAUUUGACAAUACCCUUGGAUUGAGGCUGUUUCCUGUCAUUCGGAACAACAUCCGAGGACAGACUGAUGUUAAUAACAGCAAGAACAGAAGGCCCCAAAGUAGAAAAUUAAUCUAGGUGGGAACGCAUCCACUUCAGUCAUUUUAGAUGCAGAUCAGGAGGAAGAGGAGAUGAGAGGUUCAGGGAGGAGCUGAGCUGUUACUGCACUAAAGAAGAGACACAAACUUCCACAUUCAACACACAAACAUUAACUCUGCUCAACAUGCUGUCUUUGCUCACUUCUGGAUUUAUUCUGCUGGUUCUGCUCAUUGGAACAGAUGUAAACUGUCAACAACUCACUGCACUGAAGACUAAGGAGUCCAGUUUAGAGGGCGGUUCUGUUACUCUGUCCUGUAGUUACACCAAAGGUUCUGCUAAUUAUUUGUUCUGGUAUCGACAAAAUCCAGGAAAAUCUCCACAGUUCCUGAAGUCUCACUCACCUUUCAGUGGAGCAGAACAUCUGGACAGACUGAAAUUUGAAGGAAGCAAAGAAGAAAUGAGGAUGACUAUCUCCUCUGCUGCAGUGACAGAUUCUGCUGUGUACUACUGUGCUGUGGAGCCCACAGUGACAGGAAACACCAGAACUCUGUACAAGAACCUGCAAUACUCCAUAACAUCCACUAGAGGGCCUCACAAUGUUCCACCUCUGGUUUGUUAGG